AUCACCUGGGGAUCUUAUUAAAAUGCAGAUUUUGAAUGCGUAGGUGGAGGGGGUGGGAGCUGACAGUCUGCAUUUCUAAUAAGUUCCCAGGUGAUGCUGA
Molecule: microRNA precursor, 100 nt
Filed under: Bos taurus (domestic cattle)
Lineage: Eukaryota; Metazoa; Chordata; Mammalia; Artiodactyla; Bovidae
Also listed under: 6 other names
Description: mir-544 microRNA precursor family
Rfam family: mir-544 microRNA precursor family
Source: Rfam by way of RNAcentral